Molecule: ribosomal RNA, 253 nt
Filed under: uncultured bacterium
Lineage: Bacteria
Description: partial 16S ribosomal RNA
Rfam family: Bacterial small subunit ribosomal RNA
Source: RNAcentral
UACGUAGGGCGCAAGCGUUGUCCGGAAUUAUUGGGCGUAAAGAGCUCGUAGGUGGCUUGUCGCGUCUGCCGUGAAAGCCCAUGGCUUAACUGUGGGUCUGCGGUGGAUACGGGCAGGCUGGAGGCUGGUAGGGGCAAGCGGAAUUCCUGGUGUAGCGGUGAAAUGCGCAGAUAUCAGGAGGAACACCGGUGGCGAAGGCGGCUCUCUGGGACGGUACUGACGCUGAGACGCGAAAGCGUGGGGAGCGAACAGG